GGAGUGGUGGCCGAGUGGUCGAAGGCACACCCCUGCUAAGGGUGCAGACCGGAAACGGUCUCGAGGGUUCGAAUCCCUUCCACUCCGCCA
This 90-nucleotide transfer RNA is filed under the name Frigidibacter sp. ROC022. RNAcentral's name for it is "tRNA-Ser". It matches the Rfam family "tRNA". Rfam says of the family: Transfer RNA (tRNA) molecules are approximately 80 nucleotides in length. Their secondary structure includes four short double-helical elements and three loops (D, anti-codon, and T loops). The record is from RNAcentral. Lineage: Bacteria; Pseudomonadati; Pseudomonadota; Alphaproteobacteria; Rhodobacterales; Paracoccaceae.